ACGCUGGCGGCAGGCCUAACACAUGCAAGUCGAACGGCAGCACAGAGGAGCUUGCUCCUUGGGUGGCGAGUGGCGGACGGGUGAGGAAUACGUCGGAAUCUGCCUAUUUGUGGGGGAUAACGUAGGGAAACUUACGCUAAUACCGCAUACGACCUACGGGUGAAAGUGGGGGACCUUCGGGCCUCACGCAGAUAGAUGAGCCGACGUCGGAUUAGCUAGUUGGCGGGGUAAAGGCCCACCAAGGCGACGAUCCGUAGCUGGUCUGAGAGGAUGAUCAGCCACACUGGAACUGAGACACGGUCCAGACUCCUACGGGAGGCAGCAGUGGGGAAUAUUGGACAAUGGGCGCAAGCCUGAUCCAGCCAUGCCGCGUGUGUGAAGAAGGCCUUCGGGUUGUAAAGCACUUUUGUCCGGAAAGAAAAGCUUAGGGUUAAUAACCCUGAGUCAUGACGGUACCGGAAGAAUAAGCACCGGCUAACUUCGUGCCAGCAGCCGCGGUAAUACGAAGGGUGCAAGCGUUACUCGGAAUUACUGGGCGUAAAGCGUGCGUAGGUGGUUUGUUAAGUCUGAUGUGAAAGCCCUGGGCUCAACCUGGGAAUGGCAUUGGAAACUGGCUUACUAGAGUGCGGUAGAGGGUAGUGGAAUUCCCGGUGUAGCAGUGAAAUGCGUAGAUAUCGGGAGGAACAUCUGUGGCGAAGGCGACUACCUGGACCAGCACUGACACUGAGGCACGAAAGCGUGGGGAGCAAACAGGAUUAGAUAUCCUGGUAGUCCACGCCCUAAACGAUGCGAACUGGAUGUUGGGGGCAACUUGGCCCUCAGUAUCGAAGCUAACGCGUUAAGUUCGCCGCCUGGGAAGUACGGUCGCAAGACUGAAACUCA
RNAcentral lists this ribosomal RNA (882 nucleotides) under uncultured Lysobacter sp. Its description in RNAcentral is "bacterial SSU rRNA". It matches the Rfam family "Bacterial small subunit ribosomal RNA", at positions 33 to 903 of the family's 1533-position model. The record is from RNAcentral. Lineage: Bacteria; Pseudomonadati; Pseudomonadota; Gammaproteobacteria; Lysobacterales; Lysobacteraceae.